GGAACUGAAACAUCUAAGUACCCCGAGGAAAAGAAAUCAACCGAGAUUCCCCCAGUAGCGGCGAGCGAACGGGGAGGAGCCCAGAGCCUGAAUCAGUGUGUGUGUUAGUGGAAGCGUCUGGAAAGGCGCGCGAUACAGGGUGACAGCCCCGUACACAAAAAUGCACAUAUUGUGAGCUCGAUGAGUAGGGCGGGACACGUGGUAUCCUGUCUGAAUAUGGGGGGACCAUCCUCCAAGGCUAAAUACUCCUGACUGACCGAUAGUGAACCAGUACCGUGAGGGAAAGGCGAAAAGAACCCCGGCGAGGGGAGUGAAAAAGAACCUGAAACCGUGUACGUACAAGCAGUGGGAGCCUCUUAAUGGGGUGACUGCGUACCUUUUGUAUAAUGGGUCAGCGACUUAUAUUCUGUAGCAAGGUUAACCGAAUAGGGGAGCCGAAGGGAAACCGAGUCUUAACUGGGCGUUAAGUUGCAGGGUAUAGACCCGAAACCCGGUGAUCUAGCCAUGGGCAGGUUGAAGGUUGGGUAACACUAACUGGAGGACCGAACCGACUAAUGUUGAAAAAUUAGCGGAUGACUUGUGGCUGGGGGUGAAAGGCCAAUCAAACCGGGAGAUAGCUGGUUCUCCCCGAAAGCUAUUUAGGUAGCGCCUCGUGAAUUCAUCUCCGGGGGUAGAGCACUGUUUCGGCAAGGGGGUCAUCCCGACUUACCAACCCGAUGCAAACUGCGAAUACCGGAGAAUGUUAUCACGGGAGACACACGGCGGGUGCUAACGUCCGUCGUGAAGAGGGAAACAACCCAGACCGCCAGCUAAGGUCCCAAAGUCAUGGUUAAGUGGGAAACGAUGUGGGAAGGCCCAGACAGCCAGGAUGUUGGCUUAGAAGCAGCCAUCAUUUAAAGAAAGCGUAAUAGCUCACUGGUCGAGUCGGCCUGCGCGGAAGAUGUAACGGGGCUAAACCAUGCACCGAAGCUGCGGCAGCGACACUAUGUGUUGUUGGGUAGGGGAGCG
Molecule: ribosomal RNA, 1008 nt
Filed under: Escherichia coli
Lineage: Bacteria; Pseudomonadati; Pseudomonadota; Gammaproteobacteria; Enterobacterales; Enterobacteriaceae
Description: partial 23S ribosomal RNA
Rfam family: Bacterial large subunit ribosomal RNA
Source: RNAcentral